Musa acuminata subsp. malaccensis (wild Malaysian banana) is the source of this 840-nucleotide long non-coding RNA. RefSeq lists it as uncharacterized. The record is from RefSeq and is a predicted model, not a curated record. Lineage: Eukaryota; Viridiplantae; Streptophyta; Magnoliopsida; Zingiberales; Musaceae.
AGGUGCUCGAGGCGGAGGUACACGAGCGGUGGUCGUUGGAGAACCUCCAAAAGGGCUUGCGGCUUCCCAUUCAAUCCCUUUUCCCAAGUGUCCUGGUCCCAUUUGACUUGUGAGUAGUCAUCAAGUUCAGCACCCAGCCAGCAGGAAGAAAAUUGCGUUUGCAGAUUUAUUUGACUUUUAUACCACUUGGAAGUUGGAUGGAUGGCUGAAGUUUUAUGCUUGGCCAUUUAGUUUCCCACCACAGAUUCGAGCUCCCGAAGUCUGUUCUGGUGCAGCCUGUUAGAAUGUGGGAGGAGAUGGAAGUGUUUAACUGAUGACAGCCCAUGCAAGUAGAUUACUUACAAAGUCAACAUCUUUAAGUACCUUGGAUGAUAAAGCUAAAUAAUUUGACUCUCUAAAUAUUAGAUGAUGAAUGAUUUAUGAAUCAUUCACAGUGAUCAAGUAUAUGGGCAAUGCAUUGAAGCAACUGCAACACUGCUGACUUCAUCCCACUAGAUUCUGCAUCACAACUCCACAUUAUCAAGCAAGUAGCAGACUAAAUACACUAAUUAUGACCAUCCAAACUUUGUUUUUGGAUGUCAAGAGUUUCCUGAAGCCACAUUUGAACUUGGCAGGUGAGCAACUGAGAUGGAGAGAGAGGCACCAGUAUUUGCUAAAAGGAAUUGAAGAUGUUUUCUCUACCUUCCUCAGUUAUUGGACUCAACAAAAGCAGUGACUCCCAUCAUCAACAAAAGAGAGAAUCAAUGUAAAGUUUUGCUUGCUGUUGUCCUUGAAGGAUACAAUUAAUCUAUGUGCAUAAUUGUGUUUGAGAUUUGCAUCAAGACAAAAAAGCAUCAUUAA